Molecule: ribosomal RNA, 306 nt
Filed under: Triticum aestivum (bread wheat)
Lineage: Eukaryota; Viridiplantae; Streptophyta; Magnoliopsida; Poales; Poaceae
Description: partial small subunit ribosomal RNA
Source: RNAcentral
AUGCCAAGAUACAAAAUAUUUUUCUGGCUGUUUCUUCAUGACAGAAUUAAUACCAGAGGGCUACUGGACAGGAAGAUCUUUCCCCUGCCCUCCAAGAAAUGUGCCAUAUGCACCCUUGAUACAGAUGAAACAAUUCUCCACUUGUUUUGGGAUUGUCCUUUUGCAUUCGACUGCUGGAGCUCAAUCAACAUACAGAGAGUUCGGGGAAUUUCAGCGAUUGAUGAGAUUUUGCUUAGUAUGGAAGUUCUUCCAAAGCAAUUUGCCCUCAAUAUAAUCAGAGUAAAUUGCAAGAAACCACCAGUUUGA